This 429-nucleotide ribosomal RNA is filed under the name Chloroflexota bacterium. Its description in RNAcentral is "Chloroflexi bacterium partial 16S ribosomal RNA". It matches the Rfam family "Bacterial small subunit ribosomal RNA", at positions 355 to 776 of the family's 1533-position model. The record is from RNAcentral. Lineage: Bacteria; Bacillati; Chloroflexota.
UGGGGAAUAUUGCACAAUGGGCGCAAGCCUGAUGCAGCCAUGCCGCGUGUAUGAAGAAGGCCUUCGGGUUGUAAAGUACUUUCAGCGGGGAGGAAGGGAGUGAAGUUAAUACCUUUGCUCAUUGACGUUACCCGCAGAAGAAGCACCGGCUAACUCCGUGCCAGCAGCCGCGGUAAUACGGAGGGUGCAAGCGUUAAUCGGAAUUACUGGGCGUAAAGCGCACGCAGGCGGUUUGUUAAGUCAGAUGUGAAAUCCCCGGGCUCAACCUGGGAACUGCAUCUGAUACUGGCAAGCUUGAGUCUCGUAGAGGGGGGUAGAAUUCCAGGUGUAGCGGUGAAAUGCGUAGAGAUCUGGAGGAAUACCGGUGGCGAAGGCGGCCCCCUGGACGAAGACUGACGCUCAGGUGCGAAAGCGUGGGGAGCAAACAGG